RNAcentral lists this ribosomal RNA (301 nucleotides) under uncultured bacterium. RNAcentral's name for it is "partial 16S ribosomal RNA". It matches the Rfam family "Bacterial small subunit ribosomal RNA", at positions 509 to 807 of the family's 1533-position model. The record is from RNAcentral.
CAGCAGCCACGGGAAUACGAAGGGGGCUAGCGUUACUCGGAAUUACUGGGCGUAAAGGGCGCGUAGGCGGCGCUCCAAGUUAGGCGUGAAAGUCCUGGGCUCAACCUGGGAACUGCGCUUAAGACUGGAGUGCUUGAGGAUGGAAGAGGGUUGUGGAAUUCCCAGUGUAGAGGUGAAAUUCGUAGAUAUUGGGAAGAACACCGGUGGCGAAGGCGGCAACCUGGUCCAUUACUGACGCUGAGGCGCGACAGCGUGGGGAGCAAACAGGAUUAGAUACCCCAGUAGUCCCUGUCUCUUAUAC